GCCGGGUGUAGUGGUGCACGCCUGUAGUCCCAGCUACUUGGGAGGCUGAGGCAGAAGAAUCGCUUGAACUCGGGAGGCAGAGGUUGCAGUGAGCCGUGAUGGCGCCACUGCACUCCAGCCUGGGUGACAGAGCGAGACUCCGUCUCAA
RNAcentral lists this non-coding RNA (148 nucleotides) under Gorilla gorilla gorilla (western lowland gorilla). The record is from Rfam by way of RNAcentral. Lineage: Eukaryota; Metazoa; Chordata; Mammalia; Primates; Hominidae.